ACCGCAGACCGCCUUAUCGCUUUGUGCUGAACUCGUUUCAGCAUCUUUUGAUUUCAAGUCAAAAGGUUCCGAAUCAAGUUCGGAAUGAAGAGGAAAGUCCGGACACCACAGAGUAGCAUAGCGGGUAACGCCCGUCCGUUGAAAGGCGAGGACAAGUGCAACAGAAAGUAUGUACAGGUAAGGCUGUAGUGAAACCAGGUAAACUCUAUGCGGUGAAAUUCCAAGUAUAUCGGCAUUUAAGGAUUACUCGUCCGUUGCCGAAGGGUAGGAAGCUCGAACCAAUGAGUAAUUGUUGGUCUAGAUAAAUGAUAAGGUAUUUCUAAUUUGUUUCAGAUUCUGAAACAAGUUCAGAAAGAACAGAAUCCGGCUUAUAGGUCUGCUUUUUUU
RNAcentral lists this RNase P RNA (387 nucleotides) under Flavobacteriaceae bacterium. RNAcentral's name for it is "RNase P RNA component class A". It matches the Rfam family "Bacterial RNase P class A". From Rfam's summary of the family: Ribonuclease P (RNase P) is a ubiquitous endoribonuclease, found in archaea, bacteria and eukarya as well as chloroplasts and mitochondria. Lineage: Bacteria; Pseudomonadati; Bacteroidota; Flavobacteriia; Flavobacteriales; Flavobacteriaceae. The record is from RNAcentral.